This 495-nucleotide ribosomal RNA is filed under the name uncultured bacterium. RNAcentral describes it as "partial 16S ribosomal RNA". It matches the Rfam family "Bacterial small subunit ribosomal RNA", at positions 28 to 507 of the family's 1533-position model. The record is from RNAcentral.
GACGAACGCUGGCGGCGUGCCUAAUACAUGCAAGUAGAACGCUGAAGGAGGAGCUUGCUUCUCCGGAUGAGUUGCGAACGGGUGAGUAACGCGUAGGUAACCUGCCUGGUAGCGGGGGAUAACUAUUGGAAACGAUAGCUAAUACCGCAUAAGAGUAGAUGUUGCAUGACAUUUGCUUAAAAGGUGCAAUUGCAUCACUACCAGAUGGACCUGCGUUGUAUUAGCUAGUUGGUGGGGUAACGGCUUACCAAGGCGACGAUACAUAGCCGACCUGAGAGGGUGAUCGGCCACACUGGGACUGAGACACGGCCCAGACUCCUACGGGAGGCAGCAGUAGGGAAUCUUCGGCAAUGGACGGAAGUCUGACCGAGCAACGCCGCGUGAGUGAAGAAGGGUUUCGGAUCGUAAAGCUCUGUUGUAAGAGAAGAACGAGUGUGAGAGUGGAAAGUUCACACUGUGACGGUAUCUUACCAGAAAGGGACGGCUAACUACGUG